UACGUAGGGGGCAAGCGUUGUCCGGAAUCAUUGGGCGUAAAGAGCGUGUAGGCGGCUAUUUAAGUCCUGCGUGAAAUCCUGCGGCUCAACCGCAGACGGUCGUGGGAAACUGGAUGGCUAGAGUGCGGGAGAGGAGAGUGGAAUUCCCGGUGUAGCGGUGAAAUGCGUAGAUAUCUGGAGGAAUACCGGUGGCGAAGGCGGCAUCCUGGACCGGCAUUGACGCUGAGGAGCGAAAGCUAGGGGAGCAAACGGG
RNAcentral lists this ribosomal RNA (253 nucleotides) under uncultured bacterium. RNAcentral's name for it is "partial 16S ribosomal RNA". It matches the Rfam family "Bacterial small subunit ribosomal RNA", at positions 524 to 776 of the family's 1533-position model. The record is from RNAcentral.